This is a long non-coding RNA of Solanum lycopersicum (tomato), 1598 nucleotides long. RefSeq lists it as uncharacterized. Lineage: Eukaryota; Viridiplantae; Streptophyta; Magnoliopsida; Solanales; Solanaceae. The record is from RefSeq and is a predicted model, not a curated record.
UCAAAUAUAACUCAAUUACCCCAACCUAAUAAUGCAUUGCUUUUGCCCCAACUUACAUAAAUUUCCUCUAAGGCAAAAUCCCUAAAACUAAAAUUACUAUUCUCUUUUGCCCUAGCUAUGGUGAAUUGGUCGUUACUUCCACACGAUUUACUACUUACAAUAGCAAAUCGUGUUACGUUUAUGGAGGAUUUCAUUGUAUUUGGUGCUGUUGUAAAUCAUGGCAAAUUGCUGCUUCUAAAGAAAACUUUGAUGGAACAUUCCCACUACUUCCAUUGCUUAUGUUGACUGCUGAAAAAGACGAUGACGACAAUGAUUACCGAGAAUCUUUCUCUCUUUCUAAGAAGAAAAUAACACGAGUAUUUCUCCCACAAGCUAAAGAUCGAGAAUGUUUUUCAACAAUGGAUGGAUUGCUACCUUCGAAUAUAGAGGUAUCGGAGGAAUGAAGUUAUUGUAUCCUUUUUCACAUGCUCAAAUUCAUCUUCCUCCACAUAUUGGCUUGAGAUAUUGGGAACCAACUCAUGAAACUAGCGAUGUGUCUAUAGAUAAAAUUAUAUUAUCUGCUAAUCCUUCGUUAUCAUCUAAUUAUGUCGUAUAGUAGGCAUAAAAGUCAUUUGGGUUAUUGGGAACCUGGUGAUUUCUUUUGGACUCCAAUUUAUGAUGUUGAUGGAUUUGGUGAAUUAUGGGAUAUCCACUACUUUAAUGGAAAAUUUUAUGUAAUAACUUCUACUGGAGUUUGGGUUAUUGAUGAGGAUUAUGAACUCCAAUUGGUUAUUCGGAAAAACAAAAUAUGAUCCACCAAAGCAGCUUUAUCUAGUCAAGUAUCAGCUCUGUUUUGUGGUUGAUCCCGUAGAUUGUCACAAGAAAAGGGGUAGUGGGGUGAAUACAAGAACUACUGUGAAUCUGCAGCUAUAUCCAUGGUAGAAGAUGAUUCUCAGUUGGUAUUGUCCUUGUUUAUGUUUGGCUAAUGCUGCAAGAGUAAAACCAAGUGGUGUAUUAGUAACCGCUACUUUAUCAAAAAAGUUGCAGUACUACCUAUCUUUGUUAGGUUGUCCUCCAGUCCAUUUCCCUCUCUGUAUGUAUGGCUUAUCGAUGUAUUUUUCAGUUGUUGGAGUAACCACAUGCAGUCGUGCAAAAUAUUGGAGUAUAUGAGGUUAGUAGAUUGUAUGUGAUGGAGAACUUCUUACAGAACUACUUUCUGUGCCUAGUGAUUGUAAGUUAUAGGCAAGGUCCAGGGAAAACUUUAAGCUUGCAGUAGAACCCGCAGUUCAGUGCGAAUACUGGACAAUUAGUAAGGAGUGAAAGUCUCUUAACGGUAAGAAGAGAAGCUCAUGAAUAUCUUUCCUCAUCGUGUAGUAGGAGAAUAAAUACCACUACAUCCUUUUUUUCCCCUUGAAAUAUGAUCUAUUAGUGGCAAGAAAUACUAGUAUUCUAUUGCACCAAUUUGUUAAUAACAAGACUUUUUCUUUAACUACUUAAAACCCCCGUAGAGAUAUUGAUAUCUUAGGUGGGUUAUACGAAAUGAUAUAUUUUUUUUUAAAUUUUGAUUAGAUGAUUAAAAAAGUACAAUACUCCUUAUAUGUAAUUUUCUCUUCUCUUCA